Molecule: unclassified non-coding RNA, 434 nt
Filed under: soil metagenome
Description: partial contains 5.8S ribosomal RNA, internal transcribed spacer 2, and large subunit ribosomal RNA
Rfam family: 5.8S ribosomal RNA (bases 1-120)
Source: RNAcentral
GAUGAAGAACGUAGCGAAAUGCGAUACGUAAUGUGAAUUGCAGAAUUCAGUGAAUCAUCGAAUCUUUGAACGCAUAUUGCGCUCUUUGGUAUUCCGAAGAGCAUGCUUGUUUGAGUAUCAGUAAACACCUCAAAGCUUUUGGAUUUUUUUAUCGAAAAGCUUUGGACUUGAGCAAUCCCAACACCAAUCUUUUUGAGAUCGGUGGCGGGUUGCUUGAAAUGCAGGUGCAGCUGGACAUUCUCCUGAGCUAAAAGCAUAUUCAUUUAGUCCCGUCAAACGGAUUAUUACUUUUGCUGCAGCUAACAUAAAGGGAGUUUGACCGUAUUGGCUGACUGAUGCAGGAUUUCACAAGGGUCGGCAACGAUUCUUGUUAAACUCGAUCUCAAAUCAAGUAAGACUACCCGCUGAACUUAAGCAUAUCAAUAAGCGGAGGA